CUUCUGUAAGAGGAGAAGACCCAUGAAGAUUCCUGAGCAGUUUAACGGAUAAAUUAAGUUGUCGAGACAAUAUUUUUCUACAAAAUUUCUUGUAUCACGAAACUUAUUCAAUCUAUCGAAAAUGUACUUUAAAUUUUCAUCAAUUUCGACCUACCUUCGUUUAUAUUACGUUUAAAUUACAGUGGUCUCCUAACGCUACAGUCAAUUGAUGAGACUUUCCUGUCAAUUAUACUUUAAAAUUAGGAAAAUCAAUUGCUCCCUUCUUCAGCUUGUAACCAUUUGAAACUCACCCUCUACCUCAUCACUAACACUCACUUCCAACCCUCACCUUUUUCUUUUCCAUUUUCUUAAUUUUAAAUAUAAGUGCGCAACUUUGACUUUUAACAAUAAUUAACAAUUUAACAAGAAAUAUUAUCCCUUUAUCCAACUAUAAAAGUUAAUGGGGUCCAAAAUAUUUCUAUGUACUACAAAGUCAAAAGCAAUUCAUGAAGACCUAUAACCCGUUUGGCCAAGCUACAAAAAUCAGCUUAUUUUGAGAAGUGUUUUUUUUUUAAAAGUGCUUUUCUCAAAAGUACUUUUGGUGAAAAGCAGUUUGUGUUUCGCUAAUUAGUUUGAAGAACACUUCUGAACAGCAAUUAGUGUUUGGCCAAGCUUUAAAAAACUGCUUCUAAGUGUAUUUUUCUCAAAAGUGCUUCUCAAAAAAGUGUUUUUGGAGAGAAGCUACUUUUUUCUGCUUUUCCAAAACUGCUUCUGCUUCUCCUCAAAAGCACUUUUUUUGGUCAAAAGUGCUUUUGACAACAAAAAAAAAGCACUUUUGACCAAAAAGAAGCUUGGCCAAACAGGCUACUAGUCUCGUCUGUUAUUUGCUUGUUUGGCUUUUUGACUUAUUACUCGGUUUAUCAAAUCUUUGGAUCCGAGGUAUCAUCAGAAAGAGGUAACCAACAAAUAAUGCAACUACGGGGAUCUCAUCUCAUCAUAAAUUUCUUUAAAAAAAUUUCCACCAAGAAAGUGUACUAGAAAUUGAACAUCUAACGUUAAAAAGAAAGAAAAAGGAAGUGUGCAACAAGGUCAAAAUAUGCACUCAAGAAAAUGUAGCUUGAGAGUUGAGACUAAGGCCAAGCAACUAACUACAGCAUGAUUGGACUUAUAUCCAUCUCACCAUACCAACUCAUUGAAAUGCAAAUAGGGAUCUGAAAUAAUCCAAAUAUUCACGAAGAAUUAAGAGAUAUUGUAUAUACCCAAAUGAAAAUUGAUCCGAGACUUUCCACAAAUUGAGAUUUGGCUGUAGAAGAAUCGACUGGUAUUCGAAGAAGAACAAGGGGGAUACAAAAAAGUAACAAGAAAUGUGCACCAAAUUGAACAAGUCUCAAGCACAGAUACACUGUUAUAAGUAUCUACACACAAAAAAAAUAGAGUGAAAAAUAUUAGCAUCAUUUCGAGGAUGUACCACCAUCUACCAUGUCUGUGUUUUCACUGCGCAAACUGCUCUCUCUUCUGUACAUUGGUUUUGCACCCUGAGAGAGCAAACGAAGAGUGUCCACAUUACCAUGAAAAAAUCUCAAAAAUUGAUUGGAAAUAUUUGUUGAUGAAGGAAAGAUAAGAAACAAUCAUCCCGAAACAACAAAUGACCAAAGGUUUCUGUUCCAUUUUUUCAAUCACCCAAAUGGUUAUUGAUUUUUAGUUUUGUCUGUCAUUAUUGGUCAUUCAUCAAGAUUUUUUCAAUGGCCACAACCAUUACAAGGAAACUACAAUUUUGAUCAUUUUAAAGAAAAUUCUAAUGAUUUUUUUUCCUGGGAUGAAGGCAUACAAGUUAUGAACAGAAAGUUUAAAGCAAUCCAGUCGUCCUGCAAUGUUCAAGAAAACAUCUUUGAUCCACACUCACCUGAAAAAUUGUCCCCAGCUUUUUCAUAGCCCUAGCGCGUAGCCUGAGAACAUCCCUAGGAACAUUGGGCUCUUUAAGGACCUACACAAAAAACAAAAUUCAUUAAUAUGUAGAGGCUCCUCAUUUAUAUGUAAAUAUUAUUCUAUUUGGUGCUAUAAGUUAGAGAUCAUUCAGUAUAUAGAAAGUCCAAAAGAUGGUUCCUUUAAACACCCCCCCCCC
Molecule: long non-coding RNA, 2101 nt
Filed under: Nicotiana tabacum (common tobacco)
Lineage: Eukaryota; Viridiplantae; Streptophyta; Magnoliopsida; Solanales; Solanaceae
Description: long non-coding RNA (NTAB_LNC008258)
Source: RNAcentral